GGAAGUAAAAGUCGUAACAAGGUCUCCGUUGGUGAACCAGCGGAGGGAUCAUUACCGAGUUUACAACUCCCAAACCCCUGUGAACAUACCACUUGUUGCCUCGGCGGAUCAGCCCGCUCCCGGUAAAACGGGACGGCCCGCCAGAGGACCCCUAAACUCUGUUUCUAUAUGUAACUUCUGAGUAAAACCAUAAAUAAAUCAAAACUUUCAACAACGGAUCUCUUGGUUCUGGCAUCGAUGAAGAACGCAGCAAAAUGCGAUAAGUAAUGUGAAUUGCAGAAUUCAGUGAAUCAUCGAAUCUUUGAACGCACAUUGCGCCCGCCAGUAUUCUGGCGGGCAUGCCUGUUCGAGCGUCAUUUCAACCCUCAAGCACAGCUUGGUGUUGGGACUCGCGUUAAUUCGCGUUCCUCAAAUUGAUUGGCGGUCACGUCGAGCUUCCAUAGCGUAGUAGUAAAACCCUCGUUACUGGUAAUCGUCGCGGCCACGCCGUUAAACCCCAACUUCUGAAUGUUGACCUCGGAUCAGGUAGGAAUACCCGCUGAACUUAAGCAUAUCAAUAAGCGGAGG
RNAcentral lists this ribosomal RNA (567 nucleotides) under uncultured fungus. RNAcentral describes it as "eukaryotic LSU rRNA". The stretch from base 203 to 356 matches the Rfam family "5.8S ribosomal RNA". Lineage: Eukaryota; Fungi. The record is from RNAcentral.